Molecule: long non-coding RNA, 271 nt
Organism: Rhagoletis pomonella (apple maggot)
Lineage: Eukaryota; Metazoa; Arthropoda; Insecta; Diptera; Tephritidae
Exons: 2
Source: RefSeq, a predicted model, not a curated record
CGAGUACCUACAUAUGUAUAUAUGUAUGUUUGAAUGCACCUCUGCCGCUACCACAAUAUAACCAGUAAACAAGCUUGGGUGAAUUUGUCGACUGCCUUUCUCGGGGAUGAAUAUUUCAGGGAUGAAAAUAUUGGUACACGCGCCGAAGUUUUGCUUUUGAGAAACAAUAUAAUUAGCUCAAAAUAGUUUCAAAAAAUAUAGUGUAAAACGAAAAUUAUUAAAUAAUUCUACAUUAAAUUAUGUGUAUAACUAAAUGACUCACUAUGUAAAC